AUUGAACGCUGUCGGCAUGGUUAAAGCAUGCAAGUCGAACGGCAGCACGGGAGCAAUCCUGGUGGCGAGUGGCGAACGGGUGAGUAAUGUAUCGGAACGUGCCCAAUCGUGGGGGAUAACGUAGCGAAAGUUACGCUAAUACCGCAUACGAUCUACGGAUGAAAGACGGGGGAGUCGCAAGACCUCGCGCGAAUGGAGCGGCCGAUGUCAGAUUAGGUAGUUGGUGGGGUAAAGGGACUCACCAAGCCAAUGAUCUGUAGCUGGUCUGAGAGGACGACCAGCCACACUGGAACUGAGACACGGUCCAGACUCCUACGGGAGGCAGCAGUGGGGAA
This 335-nucleotide ribosomal RNA is filed under the name uncultured bacterium. RNAcentral describes it as "bacterial SSU rRNA". It matches the Rfam family "Bacterial small subunit ribosomal RNA", at positions 30 to 361 of the family's 1533-position model. The record is from RNAcentral.